CUGAGAGAUUUUUAAAAUUCUUAUCCCUGAGAGAUUUUUAAAAUUCUUAUUUUAAAAAGCCGAAGGCUUACCGCCUUUUAAGGGUGAGAGAUUUGAAGAAACAAAAGUGCAGACAGCGCUCCAAAUACUAUUAACCCUGAGAGGUCCCUGGGGAAUUGGGCGGGGGGAGACGAAAACGGUUUUCGGGACUUUGACGCUCUCGUGAUUCACCGAUCACGACGCGACCUAUCCCAUUCGACGGGGAAUAUGGUUUUACAUAUAUAUUGACUAAUUUUUAGAACUAUCUAUAUAUUUAAGGGGAAAUUGGGAGCAAAAAGGGGGAAAAAGAGGGGAAACUUCAAAAAUACAUUGCACAUACGAUUCCACACAAUUAAAGGGUCUAAUCAGUUCUAAAGGGAAGAAGAACUUUCCAUUUAAACGAAAAGACUAAAUUUGCGAGGGCUUCUUUAAGGUUCACGAGAUAUCUGUAAAAGAAAAAGACACCCAGAUUGAGUUUAGUUGAUUGUUUGUUGACUAGCAGACGACGAUAACUUUUAUCGGUGUGGCGUGUGGGUACUGGCUACUGGGGCGGCUGGGUAUUCAUUGGAAUUCAUCGAUCUAAUGAUUCUAAUAAGAAAAAAAAACCAUGCCUCCAGUGUCACAACUGAUGAUUCCUUUACCCAUCAAAUGCCAGAUUGGCAGAUAAUUCAAUAUGUGGGUGCUGAAUGAACUGGUAAACAUAAAAAAUGGAAUUGACAAUAGAUUACAUUUAUCAUCAGACAUCUCUCCCUUUCUUAUGUCUUGAAGAUGACGACAAGUUGCUAGUUGAUUUACAUGUCACCCUUACUGAUAUCCUAGCACACCAUACUUUAUUCGGCAUACAAAAAAAGCUUUCCCUUCUGGGUUACCCUAAUUUAAAAGGCCUUGAUGAUGUAAUGGUGCUAUGCCAAAAUUUUAUCAACGUAGAGAAAUUAAAGCUGCAGCUGUGGGAAAUGGAAUUGACAAUUACAUUUCACAGACACAUUUCAGUUUCAGAAAGUGGAGUUUUGUCUUGAAGAUGACAAAAGUUGCCCGUUGAUUUACAUGUCACCUUAAGUGAUAUCAUAGCAGGAGCUUGUCAUUUAGAGAGUUCGUUACCAUACUUUAUUUGACAUGAUUGUUUUAUAGUUAUUUCAUUUUGGUUUUUUUUAGGCGAAAAUUUUGUCUUGAAGAUGACAAGUUGCCAGUCGAUUUACAUAACAACCUAAGUGACAUCAUAACAGGAACUUUUCAUUUUGGUUUUUUUUAUAUUUUUAGGUACUCUAAAGCAAGAGCCUUGACAUGCAAAACUAUAUUUCAUUCUGGCCCAACAAUAAAUAGUGGGAAAACUUAUCAUGUUCUUGAAAGGUUUUUAAAUUCAAAUCAGGAGUGUAUUGUAGUCCAUAAAUUUUUUAAUUCAAAAUCAGGAGCUUAUUGUGGUCCCUUAAAAUUUUUUACAUCUGAAGUGUAUUGCAAAUGCAAUCAGCGUGAUUGUCCAUGUGAUUUAGUAACUGGGGAAGACAGAAAUUUUGCCAGUGAUAUUGAUAAAUCCCCUUGUUCCCAUGUAUCAUGCACUGUUGAAAUGAUCUAAGUGAACACUCCAUAAGAAAUAUGUAUUAAUUGCCAAUGUUAUUAAAUUAUUUAUUUCCCCCGCCUGAUUAUGAUAUUGUUGAUGAAAACUUGAAUUUUCAUAGGCUGCUGUUAUUGAUGAAAUUUCAGAAUUCAGAAAUUCAGAAGGACCCUAGUCGUGGUUGAGCAUGAACAAGAGCAUUAUUGGGUGUAGUUGCUGAAGAGGUGCAUGUUUGUAGUAAAGCCGCCGCAAAUGAUGUAGUAUAAGAAAUUCUCGUGCAAGCGAAGAACUCGAGACGCGUCGAUAUAUAAUGGUUUUACGGAGCUAAUUAUCGAAGAUGCAUCUCUUGGAACCUUAGACAAGAUUAGACCGGAAGACUUUCAUUUGUUUCAACAAUCAUCGCUACCACAUAGAACUAAAUUAGCGCAAGCCAAGAGGUUAAAUAAUCCCGAUCACCCCUGUAAAGUUCUGGUUGCUAUCGAUAAUUGGCAUGGGAUUGAAUCUAAAUAUUGGCUGCGUUAUAUUUCGGUAAUUACCCAGUCUCAAGAAAACUUUGCCCGAAAAACGGUUUACCAAUGCAAAUUUUUGAAACGGGUCAAGUUUCAGUUCAAUUUUGCGAGACCACGGGCACACGAACAACUAGCGUCAUAUAGUAUAGUCGUAUCAGAAAAAAUUUUUGACCCACCCAAAUUUGAAAGACAAAAGACGGAGAUUUUAUUCCACACAAGAGGUGCAACAGUGAGAGUAUAAGAUGACGAACAGAGAAAACAAUACGAAAACUAAAUUUUUAAAUUUCCUAAUCAAGAAAAAAAACGAAAGGAGACUUAUAAAAUCUCGAAGGUGCCACAGAGGGGCUUGAUCCCUGAGAGAUUUUUAAAAUUCUUAUUUUAAAAAGCCGAAGGCUUACCGCCUUUUAAGGGUGAGAGAUUUCAAGAAACAAAAGUUCAGACAGCGCUCCAAAUAGUCUUAACUGUGAGAGGUCCCUGGGGAAUUGGGGCGAUUCGUGAUUGGUGGAAGGGGUUUUCGGGACCGUGAAGCUUUCCUGCUGCUCCGAUCCCGACGCGACUAAUCUCAUUCGAUGUAGAAUGACUUUUUACAUAGGUAAUGACUAAAUAUUUCAAGUAUUAACGAAAAUAACGAGAGAUUGGGAGCAAAAAGGGGAAAAAAAUGGGAAACUUCUAAAAUAGAUUGCAUAUACGAUUCCACAAAAUUAAAGAGUCCAAUUAGUUCUAAUGGAAAGAACAACUUUCCGUUUAACCGAAAAGACUAAAUUUGCAUUACUUAUUUUGUGGUUCGCGAGAUAUCUGCGAAAGAAAAAGACACCCAGAUUGACUUUUAGCUUGAUUGUUGACUAGCAGACGACGGUAAUUUUUAACAGGCUAACAGUCAAUCUGCUUGUGGCAUGGCGAAUUGAUUGAUUGAAUGUUUGUGAUAGAUUUCAUCCUCGUGAAACACUGUGUUUAUAUUUCAUAUGUAAAUCGAAUAACUUUUGCUGAAUUCUAAUAAGAAAAAAAAACCAUGCAUCCAGUAUCACAACUGAUGGUUCCUUUACCCAUCAAAUGCCAGAUUGGCCGAUAGUUCAAAUGUGGGUGCUGAAUGAACUGGUAAACGUAAGAAAUGGAAUUGACAAUUAUCUUUAUCAUCAGACAUUGCUACCUUUCAGAAAAUAUGUCUUGAAGAUGACGACAAGUUGCCAGUUGAUUCAUAUGUCUCACUUACUGAUAUCCUAGCACACCAUACUUUAUUCGGCAUGCAAAACAAACUUUCAUUUCUGGCUUUCCCUCACUUAAAAGAUGUACUCUAAAGGAAGAUUGUGGUCCCUUAAAAUUUUUGACAUUUCAAGUGUAUUGAAAAAGUAAUGAACGUGGUGUCCAAUGUGAUUUACUAUCUGGAGAAUAAAGACAUUUUGCUAUUACUA
Long non-coding RNA from Daphnia pulex (common water flea), 3485 nucleotides. RefSeq lists it as uncharacterized. Lineage: Eukaryota; Metazoa; Arthropoda; Branchiopoda; Diplostraca; Daphniidae. The transcript is spliced from 6 exons. The record is from RefSeq and is a predicted model, not a curated record.